UACGUAGGGCGCGAGCGUUGUCCGGAAUUAUUGGGCGUAAAGAGCUCGUAGGCGGCCUGUCGCGUCCGCUGUGAAAUCCCGGGGCUUAACCCCGGGCCUGCAGUGGAUACGGGCAGGCUGGAGGCAGGCAGGGGAGAACGGAAUUCCCGGUGUAGCGGUGAAAUGCGCAGAUAUCGGGAGGAACACCGGUGGCGAAGGCGGCCCGCUGGGCAGGAAGGCUCGCAAGAGCCGGCUGACGCUGAGGCGCGACAGCGUGGGGAGCAAACAGG
This 269-nucleotide ribosomal RNA is filed under the name uncultured bacterium. Its description in RNAcentral is "partial 16S ribosomal RNA". It matches the Rfam family "Bacterial small subunit ribosomal RNA", at positions 524 to 776 of the family's 1533-position model. The record is from RNAcentral.